Molecule: ribosomal RNA, 374 nt
Filed under: uncultured prokaryote
Description: bacterial SSU rRNA
Rfam family: Bacterial small subunit ribosomal RNA
Source: RNAcentral
UACAGAGGGUGCAAGCGUUGUUCGGAAUUACUGGGCGUAAAGCGCGUGUAGGCUGCAAUAUAAGUCGGAUGUGAAAGCCCUCGGCUCAACCGAGGAAGUGCAUCCGAUACUGUAUCGCUAGAGUGUCGGAGGGGAUGGCGGAAUUCCCGGUGUAGAGGUGAAAUUCGUAGAUAUCGGGAGGAACACCUGUGGCGAAGGCGGCCAUCUGGACGACAACUGACGCUGAGACGCGAAAGCGUGGGUAGCAAACAGGAUUAGAUACCCUGGUAGUCCACGCUGUAAACGAUGAGUGCUAGACGUCACGGGUAUUGACCCCUGUGGUGUCGAAGUUAACACGUUAAGCACUCCGCCUGGGGAGUACGGUCGCAAGAUUA